UAAUAGCGUAUAUUAAAGUUGUUGCGGUUAAAAAGCUCGUAGUUGAAUUUUGUUGCAAUCAGCCGAAUGAAGAUCAUUGAUUUUCCAUUUUGUUGAUUUCGACAUUAUGAUCAUGAAUGAAUUAUUUAAUUAAUUUUAAGUAAGAAGAUGGAUUCGGUUCCAUCGUCAUCAUGAUCCAUUUAUUUUGAGUAAAUUAGAGUGUUCAAAGCAGGUUUCAAGUAUAGGUGACCAUUGAAUAUUCGAGCAUGAGAUAAUGGAAUAGGACUUUCUUUCUAUUUUAUUGGUUUCUAGGAUGAAAGUAAUGAUGAAUAGGGACAGUUGGGGGCAUUCGUAUUUAAUAGUCAGAGGUGAAAUUCUUGGAUUUAUUAAAGACGAACUAGUGCGAAAGCAUUUGCCAAGGAUGUUUUCAUUGA
This 413-nucleotide ribosomal RNA is filed under the name uncultured eukaryote. Its description in RNAcentral is "partial 18S ribosomal RNA". It matches the Rfam family "Eukaryotic small subunit ribosomal RNA", at positions 592 to 976 of the family's 1831-position model. The record is from RNAcentral.